CCCCUACUUCGUCCUUACUGCAAUAACAAUUUAGUUUAGUAUUUUUUGUUUUAAUUUGUUUUCUUUUUUUCUAAAAAGUAAUUUAACCAUUUUUUUAAAUUUAACCUUUUCACCUAAUAUAUUUAAGAUCACAGAAUUAAAAAUAUUUUGAUAGAUUUUAUAUUUUUAAUUUGAACCACAAAAUGAAAGGAGUAUUAAAGAUAAAAUAUAGUGCGC
Molecule: long non-coding RNA, 216 nt
Filed under: Capsicum annuum
Lineage: Eukaryota; Viridiplantae; Streptophyta; Magnoliopsida; Solanales; Solanaceae
Description: long non-coding RNA (CANN_LNC003451)
Source: RNAcentral